This is a long non-coding RNA of Polypterus senegalus (gray bichir), 273 nucleotides long. RefSeq lists it as uncharacterized. The record is from RefSeq and is a predicted model, not a curated record. The transcript is spliced from 3 exons. NCBI's taxonomy places the organism in Eukaryota, Metazoa, Chordata, Cladistia, Polypteriformes, Polypteridae.
UAAAACCUUCCUGUUUGCUUUGGAAACGUAUGCAAUUGGGUUUAUUCGCUUGUUCAGAACAAAAGGAGGUGAUGAAAUCGGGACCCUUUUGGAAAGACUUGAUCAGCAGACUACAGACAUAACUGAACACCGUAGAUCAGUUGCAUUGAAAGGCCUUCCACGUUACCUGAGAGAGCACACACCACUAUUGAAGACUUGUUUGGUAACUAAGUCAAAGGAAUUGGACACUCAAGGUGUGAAAAUCAUGAUGAUUGAAAUGGUCAGAGAUGAAAA